CUACGGGUGGCUGCAGUGAGGAAUAUUGCACAAUGGGGGGAACCCUGAUGCAGCAACGCCGCGUGGAGGAUGACGCAUUUCGGUGUGUAAACUCCUUUUAUAUGUCAAGAAAAUGACGGUAGCAUAUGAAUAAGCACCGGCUAACUCCGUGCCAGCAGCCGCGGUAAUACGGAGGGUGCAAGCGUUACUCGGAAUCACUGGGCGUAAAGGACGCGUAGGCGGGUUGGAAAGUCAGGUGUGAAAUCCUACAGCUUAACUGUAGAACUGCACUUGAAACUUCUAAUCUAGAGUAUGGGAGGGGGAGAUGGAAUUAGUGGUGUAGGGGUAAAAUCCGUAAAUAUCACUAGGAAUACCUAAAGCGAAGGCGAUCUCCUGGAACAUUACUGACGCUAAGGCGCGAAAGCGUGGGGAGCAAACAGGAUUAGAUACCCCGGUAGUC
Molecule: ribosomal RNA, 439 nt
Filed under: uncultured bacterium
Lineage: Bacteria
Description: partial 16S ribosomal RNA
Rfam family: Bacterial small subunit ribosomal RNA
Source: RNAcentral